This 261-nucleotide ribosomal RNA is filed under the name uncultured prokaryote. RNAcentral describes it as "partial 16S ribosomal RNA". It matches the Rfam family "Bacterial small subunit ribosomal RNA", at positions 355 to 613 of the family's 1533-position model. The record is from RNAcentral.
UAAGGAAUAUUGGGCAAUGGAGGCAACUCUGACCCAGCCAUGCCGCGUGCAGGAAGACGGCCCUACGGGUUGUAAACUGCUUUUACUAGGGAGUAAUGUUAGUUACGAGUAACUAAUUGCAAGUACCUAUAGAAUAAGGAUCGGCUCACUCCGUGCCAGCAGCCGCGGUAAUACGGAGGAUCCAAGCGUUAUCCGGAUUUAUUGGGUUUAAAGGGUGCGCAGGCGGACUAAUAAGUCAGUGGUGAAAGCGACAUGCUUAAC